AUGAGGAAAGCCUGGGUCAUCCAAGGGAGGAAAAUUGCCCAAAACGUAGUGGAGAACUGCCUUUUCUGCAAAAAGUCAAGAGCAAGAAGGUGCAAACAGGUAAUGGCUGACCUACCUCCUGAAAGAACCACACCUGCAGCUCCAUUCGAGUUCACUGCAGUCGACCUCUUUGGACCGUACCUUGUCAAAGAUGACAUCAAGAAACGCGUCUCCACGAAAGUGUGGGGUGUCGUCUUCAGUUGUAUGAUCAGCAGGGCAAUUCAUGCAGACCUGGUCAACACCAUGUUGACAGAGAGCUUCUUGAUGGCUUACCAACACUUUACUGCAAUAAGAGGGCACUCAAGAAAGAUCUGGUCCGACCCGGGGACAAACUUCAUCUGCGCCCAACCUGUCCUAAGAGAGCUGUACCAGUUUCUGGAUGCUCAGAAUCGAACUUCAAUAGAAGAGAUAUCGGCUCAAAAAGGUACCAAAUGGGAGCGUACAAUUCACCCUGCUGACUCACCUCACCGCAAUGGGGCUGCUGAAGCCACUGGCCGCAUUCUCAAGAAGGCACUGCAGAGCCUGGGCAACAACACUGGCCUCAGCUAUAGCGAGCUUCAGACAACACUACAACUUGCUGCAAACCUUGCCAACAAAUGUCCAAUAGAUGCCAGGGUGCAGAGCCAUGAAGAAAGUGUGCAGUAUGUGUCACCCAACACACUUCUCCUGGGCCGAGCCUCUUCGAGUGGUGAGAUCAGAACAUUUGACUUUGCAAACUACCCUUACAAGAGACUUGGAGAGAUGCAGAACCAGGUCAACAAGUUCUGGAGGUCUUGGAGCCAGCUUGCCGGCCCAAACUUAUUUCUGAGAAGUAAAUGGCACACUUCGCAUCGCAAUGUUGCUGUCGGAGAUAUUGUCUGGUUGUGCGACCAAAAUGCAGUGAGGGGCCAAUUCAAGCUAGGACGGGUCGUGAGAGUCAAUCCAGAUGCUAAGGGCAUUGUUCGAGACAUGAUCGUCAAAGUGGUCCAAAGCUCCUGCCUUCCUGUCACAAAACCUGCACUAAACCGUCCAUCAGUUAAAGUCCUGAAAGAAGCUUUCCAAACCACAGUCCUGCACAGAGAUGUUCGACGCCUGGUUGUCUUGCUACCAGUUGAGGACCAAACUCGGAGCUGA
This 1152-nucleotide long non-coding RNA is filed under the name Carassius auratus (goldfish). RNAcentral's name for it is "lncRNA (ENSCARG00000003354.1)". The record is from RNAcentral. Lineage: Eukaryota; Metazoa; Chordata; Actinopteri; Cypriniformes; Cyprinidae.